Molecule: ribosomal RNA, 233 nt
Filed under: uncultured Funneliformis
Lineage: Eukaryota; Fungi; Glomeromycota; Glomeromycetes; Glomerales; Glomeraceae
Description: partial 28S ribosomal RNA
Source: RNAcentral
CGGAUUCGCGAGAUUGGGAUCUCUCGGUGUACUUACUCGUACGGUUAGUCAACAUCGGUUUUGAAUGUCAUAAAAUGACUGGAGGAAUGUAGCUUCGAUGUCGUAUUGAAGUGUUAUAACCUUUGGUAAAUGUGAUGUUUGAGACCGAGGAUUGCAACGGAUACCCUUCAGGGCUAUUCGUCUGAUCUCUGAUACGUUGCCCUGAUGUUGAAAGCUUGCUUAUGAUGUUAGGA